UUUAUGGAGAGUUUGAUCCUGGCUCAGGAUGAACGCUGGCGGCGUGCCUAAUACAUGCAAGUCGAGCGAACAGACAAGGAGCUUGCUCCUUUGACGUUAGCGGCGGACGGGUGAGUAACACGUGGGUAACCUACCUAUAAGACUGGGAUAACUUCGGGAAACCGGAGCUAAUACCGGAUAAUAUUUCGAACCGCAUGGUUCGAUAGUGAAAGAUGGUUUUGCUAUCACUUAUAGAUGGACCCGCGCCGUAUUAGCUAGUUGGUAAGGUAACGGCUUACCAAGGCGACGAUACGUAGCCGACCUGAGAGGGUGAUCGGCCACACUGGAACUGAGACACGGUCCAGACUCCUACGGGAGGCAGCAGUAGGGAAUCUUCCGCAAUGGGCGAAAGCCUGACGGAGCAACGCCGCGUGAGUGAUGAAGGUCUUCGGAUCGUAAAACUCUGUUAUUAGGGAAGAACAUACGUGUAAGUAACUAUGCACGU
Molecule: ribosomal RNA, 484 nt
Filed under: Listeria monocytogenes
Lineage: Bacteria; Bacillati; Bacillota; Bacilli; Caryophanales; Listeriaceae
Description: bacterial SSU rRNA
Rfam family: Bacterial small subunit ribosomal RNA
Source: RNAcentral